This 252-nucleotide ribosomal RNA is filed under the name uncultured bacterium. RNAcentral describes it as "partial 16S ribosomal RNA". It matches the Rfam family "Bacterial small subunit ribosomal RNA", at positions 524 to 775 of the family's 1533-position model. The record is from RNAcentral.
UACGGAGGGGGCGAGCGUUGUCCGAAGUUACUGGGCGUAAAGCGCGCGUAGGCGGGUCGACAAGUCCGCUGUGAAAGCCCGGGGCUCAACCCCGGAGGGUCGGUGGAUACUGUCGGUCUUGAAGGUGCUAGGGGGAGAUGGAAUUACCGGUGUAGCGGUGAAAUGCGUAGAUAUCGGUAGGAACACCAGUGGCGAAGGCGGUCUCCUGGGGCACUCUUGACGCUGAGGCGCGAAAGCUGGGGGAGCGAACGG